This 21-nucleotide unclassified non-coding RNA is filed under the name Dictyostelium discoideum. The record is from RNAcentral. Lineage: Eukaryota; Evosea; Eumycetozoa; Dictyosteliales; Dictyosteliaceae.
AGCUGAGCUGUUAAUGAAGUC